Long non-coding RNA from Cebus imitator (Panamanian white-faced capuchin), 133 nucleotides. RefSeq lists it as uncharacterized. The transcript has 3 exons. The record is from RefSeq and is a predicted model, not a curated record. Lineage: Eukaryota; Metazoa; Chordata; Mammalia; Primates; Cebidae.
CCUCACUACCACAAAUUAUGCAGUCAAGUUUCUCGCAUCUGGGGAAAUCGAAGGGGUCAGCACAUCCGACGUGCAAUGGAUAAGCCUCGCCCUGGGAAAACCACCUUCGUGAUUCUGACGGAAGAGCACAGGU